GGAUUGCACAGACAACCAGGAUGUUGGCUUAGAAGCAGCCACUCAUUCAAAGAGUGCGUAAUAGCUCACUGGUCGAGUGAUCCUGCGCCGAAGAUUUCCGGGGCUAAAACUUACUACCGAAGCUACGGCAUCAGUAAUGAUGGGUAGGGGAGCUUCCCAUACGGGUUGAAGCAUGACCGUAAGGACAUGUGGACAGUAUGGGAGUGAGAAUGUUGGCAUGAGUAGCGAGAUGUGGGUGAGAAUCCCACAGGCCGUAAACCCAAGGUUUCCAGGGGAAGGUUCGUCCGCCCUGGGUUAGUCGGGACCUAAGCUGAGGCCGAAAGGCGUAGGUGAUGGACAACAGGUUGAUAUUCCUGUACUACCGAUAACCGUUUGAGAGAUGGGAUGACACAGUAGGAUAAGCUAAGCACACUGUUGGUUAUGUGUGCCCAAGCAUUGAGGCAGUCAGAGUAGGUAAAUCCGCUUUGACAAUGCUGGGAUGUGAUGGGGAGCGAAAUUUAGUAGCGAAGUAGCUGAUUUCACACUGUCAAGAAAAGUCUCUAUCGAGGUUAAAGGUACCCGUACCGCAAACCGACACAGGUGGGUGAGGAGAGUAUCCUAAGGCCCGCGAGAGAACUGUUGUUAAGGAACUCGGCAAAAUGACCCCGUAACUUAGGGAUAAGGGGUGCCACCAUACGGUGGCCGCAGAGAAUAGGCCCAAGCGACUGUUUACCAAAAACAUAGGUUUCUGCUAAGUCGCAAGACGAUGUAUAGGAGCUGACGCCUGCCCGGUGCUGGAAGGUUAAGGGGAUCUGUUAGAGCAAUCGAAGCAGUGAACUUAAGCCCCAGUAAACGGCGGCCGUAACUAUAACGGUCCUAAGGUAGCGAAAUUCCUUGUCGGGUAAGUUCCGACCCGCACGAAAGGCGUAACGAUUUGGGCACUGUCUCAACAACAGACUCGGUGAAAUUGUAAUUCCGGUGAAGAUGCCGGAUACCUGCGACAGGACGGAAAGACCCCAUGGAGCUUUACUGUAGCUUGACAUUGGGUC
This 1028-nucleotide ribosomal RNA is filed under the name Clostridioides sp. ZZV14-6104. RNAcentral's name for it is "partial 23S ribosomal RNA". It matches the Rfam family "Bacterial large subunit ribosomal RNA", at positions 1078 to 2123 of the family's 2925-position model. The record is from RNAcentral. Lineage: Bacteria; Bacillati; Bacillota; Clostridia; Peptostreptococcales; Peptostreptococcaceae.